UAACACGUAAACAACCUGCCUUAAGGAUGGGGAUAACAGACGGAAACGACUGCUAAUACCGAAUACGUUCUAAGCAUCGCAUGGUGCAUAGAAGAAAGGGUGGCCUCUACAAGAAAGCUAUCGCCUUAAGAGGGGUUUGCGACUGAUUAGGUAGUUGGUGAGGUAACGGCUCACCAAGCCGACGAUCAGUAGCCGACCUGAGAGGGUGACCGGCCACAUUGGGACUGAGACACGGCCCAA
RNAcentral lists this ribosomal RNA (240 nucleotides) under uncultured bacterium. RNAcentral describes it as "partial 16S ribosomal RNA". It matches the Rfam family "Bacterial small subunit ribosomal RNA", at positions 111 to 334 of the family's 1533-position model. The record is from RNAcentral.